Molecule: long non-coding RNA, 9522 nt
Filed under: Nicotiana benthamiana
Lineage: Eukaryota; Viridiplantae; Streptophyta; Magnoliopsida; Solanales; Solanaceae
Description: long non-coding RNA (NBEN_LNC006525)
Source: RNAcentral
CCCCAUUUCGUCUCUCUCAACUCUUCAUCUCUCAGAGACAAAAGGAAACCCUAAGUUGCCACAAAAAACUCCAUGCUCUUUCCGAUGGCGGCGCCACCACCAAACUACCCCAAAUCAACACCCCAAACUCCCCUUCCUCCCUUCAUAUAUAAUUCGUCGUUGUUUCCCUUCGAAUCUUAAAUCCAAGUUCGACCUUUAAAAGUUUAAAAAACAUUUUUCAUCGAACCUGGUAGCAUGCAUGCUCAUAGGGUGUUGUUCUUUCGAGCUUUGAAGUUUGGAUUCAAAAAAAUUGAUGUCGUUCAGUUGUUCUUGACAAAUAACAAAGGAUCAACAUUAGUUUUGUUAGGUCAUUUGUCUCAAGUAGGUUUCGAGUCCUGAUUUGGUAAGUUCCCCCCCCCCCCCCCCCCCCUUUUUUUUUUUUUUUUUUUUUUUUUUUUUUUUUUUUUGUUUUUUUUUUUUUUUUUUUUUUUUUUUUUUUUUUUUUUUNNNNNNNNNNNNNNNNNNNNNNNNNNNNNNNNNNNNNNNNNNNNNNNNNNNNNNNNNNNNNNNNNNNNNNNNNNNNNNNNNNNNNNNNNNNNNNNNNNNNNNNNNNNNNNNNNNNNNNNNNNNNNNNNNNNNNNNNNNNNNNNNNNNNNNNNNNNNNNNNNNNNNNNNNNNNNNNNNNNNNNNNNNNNNNNNNNNNNNNNNNNNNNNNNNNNNNNNNNNNNNNNNNNNNNNNNNNNNNNNNNNNNNNNNNNNNNNNNNNNNNNNNNNNNNNNNNNNNNNNNNNNNNNNNNNNNNNNNNNNNNNNNNNNNNNNNNNNNNNNNNNNNNNNNNNNNNNNNNNNNNNNNNNNNNNNNNNNNNNNNNNNNNNNNNNGGUUUGUUCAUUCCUUUACUAUUUUAUUUCUUUAUUCUCCUUCGAUUUUACAUUGGUUUAGUUUUCUUCUACUAGCUUAUUUGAAAGUAGACCAAUCCUCCGGGUUUAAAUUGUCUUCUGUUCGUUGUUUUUUUUCUUUUUCCUUUGUAAAGGCUUGUUCAAUGUUUUCCUUAAUUGUGCUAUUAGCCUAUUUAAAGUUCUGAUAUCAUAUCUCGUUUAGUCACCUAGUUAAUUUAAUUAAGGUUAUUUUGAUAACUUGGUUAAUUUACUGCUUACUUGUGUGUAGUAAUCAGUCGAUUAGUGUAGGUUUUAAUUCUCAAAAUCAUUCAAGUGAUUGCCCUUUGUUUGUUGACUGAUAUGAUUCAAUUUCUUUUGUUGUUUGGACUUUGAAGCCAUUGCAUACCACACCCCAAUGGGGUUAGUUUAGGUCAUUGGGUCAGAAUUGAGCCCACAGUUGGUUUAACUAUGGGGGCAUUUUGAACCAUUUGGUUUCCUAGAGUAAAAAACAUGGUUUAAAGGGUUGAUUUAGGAACUCUAGGUGGGGAAAUCUCAGUAAGUGAUUGAGUAAGAUUCCUAGAAGUUUGGGUGGGGACCUAACUGAAAAUCGGAAUUUUACACCAAGGUUUCUAAUUAAAAAUGAAAAUAAAAAAAUGUCCUAAAGGCAAAACAUAGUUCAUCUCUGCAGACUUAAUACUUUGCCUAUAAAGGCAUCGUUUCUUUGCCAACAAGGGAAAUUUUGGCAGAUAAAAAUACUAAAAAAUUAAGCAGCUAGAGUUUUUGGGAGGAAAAGUCUGAAAAAAUAUUGAGCGAAAGAAGAAAGAACUUCAAAAUUCUUGUGUUUUUAGUGAACAAUUUGUCUAGUUUUGAGUUAGUCUCUUCAUUCUGAAACCAAAAAGGAUUUUCUUAGCUUAUUCUGGAAUGGAAGCUAGUUUAAGGGAUGUUGUGUCACUGUUCUAUUGAUGAAAUUCUGAAGUGCUUCCGUUGUUUGCUUCUUCUUUGUUGAACUACUACUACUGUUGUCAAAUAACUGCAAGAUCAUUGUAUUUAGUUUGGGACCAUUAUGAUACUUGGGAAAUAUUUUAGUUGGUUGAAUCGGUAGUUUUAGACUCUACAUUCCAUCGCUUAAAUAAUGUAAUUGGGUAGAUAAAUGUUUCUUUUAAGAUUCGUGUGUAUAAAAUCGUGUUGAGAGAAAAUGAAAAGGAAAUGGUCUAGUUUGCUUCAAUGGGUAAAAACAUGCAUUGAUUAGCAUGUGAAUGUCUUUAAACUUAGAAAUGGCUGUCAGUUCAAUUCUAGUUAGUGAUUGAAUAACUAGUAAUUGUCAGUUUAAUUUUGCUUCUAUUCAGUGUCAAUCUUACAGGAACUACUAAUAUGGGACUCAUUUGAUGUUUAAAUUCUCAUGUCAUUACUUCAAGUUAGCUUGAAACCUUAAUAUUUAAAGUUAUAUAUUAUCCAGCUAUCAAAUUGGAAUUUUCAAUUAUUUUCGAAAUUAUGUCAUUAUUAAAAUCUCAUGAAAUUGUCCAUUACGUAGUUAAAAGCUAUUUUGAAAAUCGUCUGCAUAUACAUUUGUGUUUUGGUGAUAGUAAUUCAGGUUCACAUCGGCACCCAUUGAUUUUUCAGAUGCAGCUUGGCUUUUAAGGAUUCGAAGUCGAGUCCUCACUUGCUAAUCUCAGGCUCCUGAAAGUUUUGGGCUCAUCUUGGACUUAAGUCUGAAAAGACUUGCAAAAUCGAAACUACGCACUUUGUAUCAUUUAGGUUUGUUUUGCUCUGUUGGCUCGGUUCUCUCGUUUGUUUGGGUUGUUGACGAAGUAAUGUCUCUUUAGGUAAUUGUUUGUUUAAUAAGACGCUCAUGGGUAGCUGAUUUAGUUCGAACUUUUAGCAUAUAGGUAUUUUGAAUGCCUUUAGGUUUCUCCUUAAUUAACUAGAUUUUUUAAAAUGAGUUGAGGUGUGCCAUAUUAGCCAAAUGUAUAAUUUGUGGCCCUUAUGAGCUUAUUUAGAAACCUUGUUUGUUAGAAAAAUCAAGGCGCGCCAUGCCAAGUAAAAGAUUCAAAAUGCACGGCCCUCAUUUAAUUGAUCUUGAACCUUUGGAAAUCGAGGUGUGCCAUUAGCUUAAUUUUCAUGGCCCUCGCAACCAAGCGGGGGAUAAUAUCAUUCAAGCAUAGCUUCAGGCAAGGGAAUGGAGUGGCACACGUUUUGGCAAAUGCAGCACUAAGAAAUAACUCUUUUGAUAAGCUAUACAGUUUUGGUACACCUCCUGAUUUUGAUAGGGCCGUCUAUGAGAAUGAUAUGGAGGACUAUGUUUAUGUUAGAACUAGUUGUAUUAAAUAAUGUGAAGAUUUAGCUGCACUAGGAAAUAUGAGUGCCAUAUGUAGCCUAAUGAUAGAUUCUAAUGAUGCAUGUAUGACAAACAUCCAUAGGGGAAACCAUCUCUCUCUACUUAACUUAAUAUGUAUACAUAUAUAAAAUAUGUUUUCUGUUUCAAAAAUAAAAAUGUGCUACUUAUCCCUCUCUAUGUAACUUAAUAUGUGUUUAUAUAUAUAUAUAUAUAUAAUAUGAUUUCUGUUUCAAAAAUAAAAAGGUGCUACUUCACAAUGCCUUAAAAGAAAAUCUUAAAUUAUAUUUAAUCAGAGAGCCAUAUUUACACAAAACCAUCCGAACCCUAAAAAAAAGGAGUGCAUUUAUUGUUGGUUGAUGAAGUUGCUGGACAGAAGUAAAUUUUUUUAAUUUUUGAGACGCAAAACUGGAACUAAUAGUACAGACGUGAAAUACCAUCAAAUAUGCAUAUGAAGUUUAAAUAGCAAGAGUAAUAGAGACGUAGCAGAAGAAAAACAUUUAAUAUCACAUUUUAAGGUAGCCUGCAAUAUCAGAAAACAUUUAAUACUAGCAUGUAGUUUCUUUAGUUGUUUCUGUAGAAAAGAAUUUGUUCUUUAAUUGCAAAUAACCAUCGGGAAGAUUUCACUUUUGUUUUGGGAUGUCAAACCAAGACUUGUCUAUUUUUCUCCCCCUCCACUAAUUAAUUUUCUUUGCUUCAUUUAACGUGUUCUUUGCAUCAUCAUUUCAGGUUCAAUAUCACGUUUUAAGGUACAUACAAAACUGGUAGCCUGCACAAUCAGAAAAUUCAUCCAGUGCAUUAAAGGCUUAGCUCUUCUUGGCAGCUAGCUUUUCUGGAUCUUUGAAAAGAAUGGAUUUCUGUAGAAAAGAAUUUGUUCUUUAAUUGCAAAUAACCAUCGAGAAUAUUUCACUUUUGUUUUGGGAUGUCAAACAAAGACUUGUCUAUUUUUCUCCCUCUUCACUAAUUAAUUUUCUUAGCUUUAUUUAACGUGUUUUUGCAUCAUCAUUUCAGGUUCAAUAUCACAUUUUAAGGUACAUACAAAAUUGGUAGCCUGCACUAUCAGAAAAUUCAUCCAGUGCAUUAAAGGCUUAGCUCUUCUUGGCAGCUAGCUUUUCUGGAUAUUCAAAACCCCUUCCACCAACACACCACCAUAACCAUCAGCGCCGUUUCCUGACCUCUUGUAUUCAGUAGGCCUCAAGUGAGGAAUUCUUUUUCCACUACGUACCCCUCUUCUUGGAUUUGGUAGCAUAUAUAUAGCUGUAAGUAAUUAGUCGUUGCACCAUUUGUUAUUCUUUCUUUGUUUUGUGGUUUGUAAGUGUUCACAUUUGCUUAUAAUCUUUGAUAUCGCAAUUCUUAGACUGUAAUAGGAGGUUUAGCUUUUUGGUUUUGACUGUUUAAGAGUUUAAUACUAACAUGUAGUUUCUUUAGUUGUUUUUGUAGAAAAGAAUUAGUUUGAUAAUUGCAAAUAACCACCGGGAAGAUUUCACUUUUGUUUUGGGAUGUCAAACAAACACUUGCCUAUUUUUCUCCCCUCCACUAACUAAUUUUCUUAGCUUCAACUGUACGUACUUGUUGAAGCCAUUUAAUUCUUUGCAUCAUCAUUUCAGGUUCUUUUUAUUAGUGUCCUACAUUAACAUUGUUCUCGCCAGUCUUUUCAGAUUGGGUUGAUCUGCUGAUUUGAUCAGGUAGCUAUUUAUAAAUUUGAGUUUGCAUUGCUAUCUAGUAAGAUUUGAAAAAUUCUAGUAGUAAUGAAUACUAAAGAAUUCCAUUAUGUCAUUCAGGUUAAGAUGUUGCGCCGCACAAUCAGUUGUCCAAUAGCCUAUUCCCAGAGGUAUAUUACUGCUCUCAAAACUUGAUGCUUAGUGAAAUAAUUAGAAGUAGAGUUGUAACAACAAAGGAGCUUUAGUGUUUCCAUAGACUUAAUUCCUUGGAUAAUUAUAGUUAUCAAAAUUAUAUAUUUAAUAAAGUUACCGUCCAUGAGAAGGAUAUGGAGGACUAUGUUUAUGUAUGAACUAGUAGUGUUAAACAAUGUGAAGAUCUAGCUGCACUAGGAAAUAUGAGUGUCAUAUGUAGCCUAAUGAUAGAUUCUAAUGAUGCAUGUAUGUCAAACAUCCAUAGGGGGAAACCAUCCCUCUCUAUUUAACUUUAUAUAUAUAUAUAUAUAUAUAAAAUAUGCUUUCUGUUUCAAAAAUAAAAAGGUGCUACUUCACAAUGCCUUAAAAGAAAAUCUUAAAAUAUAUUUAAUCAGAGACUCAUAUUUACACAAAACCAUCCGAACCCUAAAAAAAAGGAGUGCAUUUAUUGUUGGUUGGGAUGUCAAACAAAGACUUGUCUAUUUUUCUCCCCCUCCACUAAUUAAUUUUCUUAGCUUCAUUUAACGUAUUCUUUGCAUCAUCAUUUCAGGUUCAAUAUGACAUUUUAAGGUACAUACAAAAUUGGUAGCCUGCACUAUCAGAAAAUUCAUCCAGUGCAUUAAAGGCUUAGCUCUUCUUGGCAGGUAGCUUUUCUGGAUAUUCAAAAACUCUUCCACCAACACACCACCAUAAUCAUCAGCACCGUUUCCUGACCUCAUGUAUUCAGUAGGCCUCAAGUGAGGAAUUCUUUUUCCACUACGUACCCCUCUUCUUGGAUUUGGUAGCAUAUAUAUAUAUAUAUAUAUAUAGCUGUAAGUAAUUAGUCGUUGCACCAUUUUUUAUUCUUUCUUUGUUUUGUGGUUUGUAAGUAUUCACAUUUUGCUUAUAAUCUUUGAUAUCGCAAUUCUUAGACUGCAAUAGGAGGUUUAGCUUUUUGGUUUUGACUGUUUAAGAGUUUAAUACUAGCAUGUAGUUUCUUUAGUUGUUUCAGUAGAAAAGAAUUAGUUUGAUAAUUGCAAAUAACCACCGGGAAGAUUUCACUUUUGUUUUGGGAUGUCAAACAAACACUUGCCUAUUUUUCUCCCCCUCCACUAACUAAUUUUCUUAGCUUCAACUGUACGUACUUGUUGAAGCCAUUUAAUUCUUUGCAUCAUCAUUUCAGGUUCUUUUUAUUAGUGUCCUACAUUAACAUUGUUCUCGCCAGUCUUUUCAGAUUGGGUUGAUCUGCUGAUUUGAUCAGGUAGCUAUUUAUAAAUUUGAGUUUGCAUUGCUAUCUAGUAAGAUUUGAAAAAUUCUAGUAGUAAUGAAUACUAAAGAAUUCCAUUAUGUCAUUCAGGUUAAGAUGUUGCGCCGCACAAUCAGUUGUCCAAUAGCCUAUUCCCAGAGGUAUAUUACUGCUCUCAAAACUUGAUGCUUAGUGAAAUAAUUAGAAGUAGAGUUGUAACAACAAAGGAGCUUUAGUGUUUCCAUAGAGUUAAUUCCUUGGAUAAUUAUAGUUAUCAAAAUUAUAUAUUUUAUAUAGUUACUAGGUAUUCCUUGUAAAGCAUUGGCCGGUAAGGAUACCGACGUUUGCGGUCACUAUUGCGGUCGAUCUGAUAGAGAUGUAAUCUGAUCCCAACAAUAUCAAAUUAUUAAUAUAAACAACUCAACACCAAUAUUUACGAAAUAUCAACAAAAAAGAAGAUGAAACGUAUAAAACAUUAAAGAAUCACUAAUACAACUGAUAAAAUCCAAUACCUCGAAAUCCCAAAAAAUAUGAAGUAAAUGAACAAACUACGAUGUAUCACAAAAUUAAAAGCAAUAAAAGAGUUAAAUAAACAAAGUCACAACAACAACAACAACAACAACAACCCAAUGUAGUCCUACAAGUGGAGUCUGGGGACGGUUGGAUGUAUGCAACCUUACCCUACCCUGGAAGGAAAGAGAGACUUUUUUCGAUAGCUCAAAAAAAUCAAAUAGCAAGUGAUGACAACUCAUAAAUAAAAACACGGUUAUAAAAAAACAAUUAACAAGUAAGGCAUGCAACAGAUAAAGGCAUGAUUCGACAAGUAAUCGCGAUUAAAAUUUUUAAGCAUAUAAGAGUAUAUUUCACAAUAAAGGUAGAACAUGUACUAACAACUUCAAUUUAAUGCAUGAAAUAAGACUAAGAGUCUGAACCGAACAAAUACCACAUAUAAGCCCGUGUACACACCCAUCACCUCGUGUACUCGCCUUUCUCGCAAUUCAAAUAGUACAAUCAACCCAAAUCUUAAGGGGUGGUUUCCCCUACACAAAGUUAAGCAAGAUACUUACCUCAAUUACGCUAAUUCGAAACCCAAAAUAGCGUUUUCUUUAAAAGUUACAUCCGCCUCGUUUAAAUCUAGCAAAAACUAACUUAAUAAUAUCAAAAAAUACAAGGGAACCAAUUCCAAUUAAUAGAGCUAUAAUCUUUAUAUAUUUUUUCAAAAGUCAAAAUUAGGCUCACCCGGUAAAAACCCGAGUCGAAGGGUAGCCAUAGCCCUGCGAGUUCAUAUAUAUGGUUUGUUUUCAAUUCCGAGUCAAAUUUCUCUUAAAUCUUAAAUUUUUAUUUUUCAGAUCAUAAUAAAAAAUCCCUAAAUUUUCCCUUCAAAACCCAUGAAUUUGACGUUAAAUCUCAUAAAUAAUCAUGUAAUAUAAUUAAAAAUGGAUUAAAGUGACUUAUCGAAUAGUUUGGUAUGAAAAUCUCUCAACAAAUUGAAAUCGCCUCCCGCCAAGUCUGGGAUUCCAAAUAUGAUAAGAUGAAGGUAAGUCCUGAAAUACUCAGCGAUUAACAAACUGCACAAGUGACAUGCGCAAUUGCGGAAAAAGGAUCACAAAAGCGAAACCUAGCCAGACCUACUAAUGUCGCAUUUGUUACAAUAAACUUUGCCAUUGCGAAGGUGUUUCCCCGUAGAGGCUCAUUGCAAAAGCGACUCUAGUGCCCCAAAAGCUAGCUCCAGUGUAUAUAAUUGUGAUACAAUCCCCGUAAAUGCGAGGUCCCUUCCCCAGCAGUCCUGAUUCACAACUGCGAGAUGAAACCACCACCCUCACACAAAAUUCUAACAAAAUACAUAUAAAACUCACCUGACCCCUGGGGGAUCCACAUCAAACAUUCACACAAGUCUAAAAAUAUUAUACGAACUCGAUCACACGAUCGAAAUACUAAAAUAGCAUCCACAAGAACUCUAUCACACGAUCGAAAUACUAAAAUAGCAUCCAGAACCAUCGAUCGGACACCAAAAUGCAUGAAAAUCACUAUGUGCUUUAAGAACUUCUUGAAUUGAAACCAAGCGUCCAAAUAAUAUCACACCAAUUUUAAAUGAUUCCAAAUUUUGCAGACGAGUUCUAAAUAGAAAAACGGAUCUAAUCCAUGUCCCAACACUAAAAACUGAACCCGAUAACCUUAAAGUUAAACCAUGGUCAAACUUAGGUAAAUUUUGAAUAUUUAAAUUGUCAACUUUCGGCAUAACAAGUCAAAUCAGUCUAGGGAUCUCUAAAUUAAAUUUCGAAAAUAUUGUCGAAGUUCAAAAUAACCGUACGAACCCAACUAAAACAUCAAAACUCUGAUCCGAGAUUAAAUAAGUAGAAACUUAAACUUUUUUGCACUUUUAAUUUUUUUGUAUAUAUAUUAUGGAGGUGUACAUUGUGUACUUGUUUAUGUUUUUUGUUCAAUCUUACUCUGUCAUAUUUCUUGUUACAUGAUUGAUUUGAAAAGAUUACGAUGAACUAAUUAAGAUUUCCAUCAUUUAGAGAAUUAAAUAUGUUGCAGCGAGGAAGGAGUUGUCCGCCAUCCUUUUCUGAGAGGUAAAUUCUAAAAAUUAACAGUCUCCUCUAUUUAAACAUACGUUUUUCCUCGAAUGUUCCAGGAGUCGUUCCAAAGCUAUCAAAUCACUGCAUAGGCUUUAUCUUAAGGAUACAAUGUCUUGAAGUUUUGAACCGAGAAAAACUGAACUUUGGGAUACAAGACAUUGUAUCCUUAGGUUCAAGCUUAUGCAGUGACUUGAUAGCUUUGGAACGACUCCAGGAACAUUCGAGGAAAAACGUAUGUUUAAAUAGAGGAGACUGUAACGAACCAACUAGUCAUUUUAAGCAUUUGCAAUUUGUCCGGCGGUUUGAGGUCGCGAAUAGCUUCACAUGGUGUAUUUUUUGAAUAUCGAGUGGUUCGGGAUUGAUUUGGGUGAAUGUUUCUCAUUUUUGAAGGUUUAAGUUGGAAGAUCGAGUGGUUCGGGAUUGAUUUAGGUGAAUGUUUCUCAUUUUUGAAGGUUUAAGUUGGAAGGGUAGACCAAGUUUAACUUUCUACUUAUUUAAUCUCGGAUCAGAGUUUUGAUGUUUUAGUUGGGUUCGUACGGUUAUUUUGAACUUCGACAAUAUUUUCGGAAUUUAAUUCAGGGAUCCCAAAACUGGAACUAAUAGUACAGACUUGAAAUACCAAAACAAAAGUGAAAUCUUCCCGGUGGUUAUUUGCAAUUAUCGAACUAAUUCUUUU